This 74-nucleotide transfer RNA is filed under the name Pseudomonadota bacterium. RNAcentral's name for it is "tRNA-Gln". It matches the Rfam family "tRNA". From Rfam's summary of the family: Transfer RNA (tRNA) molecules are approximately 80 nucleotides in length. The record is from RNAcentral. RNAcentral also lists the same sequence under 1 other name. Lineage: Bacteria; Pseudomonadati; Pseudomonadota.
UGCCCGAUGGUGUAACGGUAACACAGCGCCCUUUGGAGGCGUUUUUCAUGGUUCGAAUCCAUGUCGGGCAACCA